UACGUAGGGGGCGAGCGUUGUCCGGAUUCACUGGGCGUAAAGGGUGAGUAGGCGGUUAUAUAUGUCAGGUGUAAAAAGCUAUGGCUUAACCAUAGUAAGCACUUGAAACUGUAUGACUUGAGUGCAGGAGAGGUAAGCGGAAUUCCUAGUGUAGCGGUGAAAUGCGUAGAUAUUAGGAGGAACACCGGUGGCGAAGGCGGCUUACUGGACUGUAACUGACGCUGAGUCACGAAAGCGUGGGUAGCAAACAGGAUUAGAUACCCGGGGUAGUCCCUGA
RNAcentral lists this ribosomal RNA (277 nucleotides) under uncultured prokaryote. Its description in RNAcentral is "partial 16S ribosomal RNA". It matches the Rfam family "Bacterial small subunit ribosomal RNA", at positions 524 to 800 of the family's 1533-position model. The record is from RNAcentral.